CCUACGGGAGGCAGCAGUGAGGAAUAUUGGUCAAUGGGCGAGAGCCUGAACCAGCCAAGUCGCGUGAAGGAUGACGGCCCUACGGGUUGUAAACUUCUUUUGUCAGGGAGCAAUUGGGUCCACGCGUGGGCUUAGCGAGAGUACCUGAAGAAAAAGCAUCGGCUAACUCCGUGCCAGCAGCCGCGGUAAUACGGAGGAUGCGAGCGUUAUCCGGAUUUAUGGGGUUUAAAGGGUGCGUAGGCGGAAUAUCAAGUCAGCGGUAAAAAGUCGGGGCUAAACCCCGUCGUGCCGUUGAAACUGGUGUUCUUGAGUGGGCGAGAAGUAUGCGGAAUGCGUGGUGUAGCGGUGAAAUGCAUAGAGAUCACGCAGAACUCCGAUUGCGAAGGCAGCAUACCGGCGCCCAACUGACGCUGAAGCACGAAGGCGUGGGUAUCGAACAGGAUUAGAUACCCCAGUAGUC
Molecule: ribosomal RNA, 460 nt
Filed under: uncultured bacterium
Lineage: Bacteria
Description: partial 16S ribosomal RNA
Rfam family: Bacterial small subunit ribosomal RNA
Source: RNAcentral